RNAcentral lists this ribosomal RNA (560 nucleotides) under Salmonella enterica subsp. enterica serovar Livingstone. Its description in RNAcentral is "partial 23S ribosomal RNA". It matches the Rfam family "Bacterial large subunit ribosomal RNA", at positions 1 to 591 of the family's 2925-position model. The record is from RNAcentral. Lineage: Bacteria; Pseudomonadati; Pseudomonadota; Gammaproteobacteria; Enterobacterales; Enterobacteriaceae.
GGGUUGUGAGGUUAAGCGACUAAGCGUACACGGUGGAUGCCCUGGCAGUCAGAGGCGAUGAAGGGCGUGCUAAUCUGCGAUAAGCGCCGGUAAGGUGAUAUGAACCGUUAUAACCGGCGAUACCCGAAUGGGGAAACCCAGUGUGACUCGUCACACUAUCAUUAACUGAAUCCAUAGGUUAAUGAGGCGAACCGGGGGAACUGAAACAUCUAAGUACCCCGAGGAAAAGAAAUCAACCGAGAUUCCCCCAGUAGCGGCGAGCGAACGGGGAGGAGCCCAGAGCCUGAAUCAGCAUGUGUGUUAGUGGAAGCGUCUGGAAAGGCGCGCGAUACAGGGUGACAGCCCCGUACACAAAAGCGCAUGUGCUGUGAGCUCGAUGAGUAGGGCGGGACACGUGGUAUCCUGUCUGAAUAUGGGGGGACCAUCCUCCAAGGCUAAAUACUCCUGACUGACCGAUAGUGAACCAGUACCGUGAGGGAAAGGCGAAAAGAACCCCGGCGAGGGGAGUGAAAAAGAACCUGAAACCGUGUACGUACAAGCAGUGGGAGCACCCUUUGGGG